GUUGAUCCUGCCGGAGGUUACUGCUAUCGGUGUUUGACUAAGCCAUGCGAGUCAAAUGUUCUUCGUGAACAUGGCGUAAUGCUCAGUAACACGUGGAUAACCUGCCCUUAGGUCCGGCAUAAUCUCGGGAAACUGAGGAUAAUUCCGGAUAGCUCUUUUUGGCCGGAAAUGCAUUAAGAGUAAAAGUAUCUCGCCUAAGGAUGGGUCUGCGGCCUAUCAGGUAGUAGAGGGUGUAACGCACCUUCCAGCCGACAACGGGUACGGGUUGUGAGAGCAAGAGCCCGGAGAUGGAUUCUGAGACAUGAAUCCAGGCCCUACGGGGCGCAGCAGGCGCGAAAACUUUACAAUGCAGGAAACUGUGAUAAGGAAACACCGAGUGCCCGCAUCUAAUGCGGGCUGUCCGCGUACCCAAAUCGUACGCGUCAGCAAGGACCGGGCAAUACCGGUGCCAGCCGCCGCGGUAAUACCGGUGGUCCGAGUGGUAGCCGCUUUUAUUUGGUCUAAAGGGUCCGUAGCCGGUCCGGUCAGUCCAUUGGUAAAUCCGCGCGCUCAACACGCGGUCUUCAGUGGAUACUUCCGGACUUGGGACCGGGAGAGGUAAGAGGUACUAUAGGGGUAGGAGCGAAAUCCUGUAAUCCUUAUGAGACCACCUGUGGCGAAGGCGUCUUACCGGAACGGGUCCGACGGUGAGGGACGAAAGCUGGGGGCACGAACCGGAUUAGAUACCCGGGUAGUCCGAGCCGUAAACUAUGCCCGCUGGGUGUCAGGCAUGGCAUGACUGUGUCCGGUGCCGUAGAGAAGUCGUGAAGCGGGCCACCUGGGAAGUACGGCCGCAAGGCUGAAACUUAAAGGAAUUGGCGGGGGAGCACUACAACGGGUGGAGCCUGCGGUUUAAUUGGACUCAACGCCGGAAAACUCACCAGGGGAGACAGCAAUAUGUAGGUCAGGCUGAAGGUCUUACCUGAAUCGCUGAGAGGAGGUGCAUGGUCGUCGCCAGUUCGUACUGUGAAGCAUCCUGUUAAGUCAGGCAACGAGCGAGACCCCU
RNAcentral lists this ribosomal RNA (1045 nucleotides) under uncultured archaeon. Its description in RNAcentral is "bacterial SSU rRNA". It matches the Rfam family "Archaeal small subunit ribosomal RNA", at positions 7 to 1055 of the family's 1478-position model. The record is from RNAcentral.